This 464-nucleotide ribosomal RNA is filed under the name uncultured verrucomicrobium DEV064. RNAcentral describes it as "bacterial SSU rRNA". It matches the Rfam family "Bacterial small subunit ribosomal RNA", at positions 338 to 795 of the family's 1533-position model. The record is from RNAcentral. Lineage: Bacteria; Pseudomonadati; Verrucomicrobiota.
CCUACGGGAGGCAGCAGUCGAGAAUUUUUCUCAAUGGGCGAAAGCCUGAAGGAGCGACGCCGCGUGGGGGAUGAAUGGCUUCGGCCCGUAAACCCCUGUCAUUCGGGAUCAAACGUUGUCAGUGAACAACUGGCAGCCUGAUUGUACCGGAAGAGGAAGGGACGGCUAACUCUGUGCCAGCAGCCGCGGUAAUACAGAGGUCCCGAGCGUUGUUCGGAUUCACUGGGCGUAAAGGGUGCGUAGGCGGUAGGGUAAGUUUGAGGUGAAAGCUCCGGGCUCAACCCGGAAAUGGCCUUGAAUACUAUCCUGCUAGAGGAUCGGAGGGGAGACUGGAAUUCUCGGUGUAGCAGUGAAAUGCGUAGAUCUCGAGAGGAACACCAGUGGCGAAGGCGAGUCUCUGGACGAUACCUGACGCUGAGGCACGAAAGCCAGGGGAGCAAACGGGAUUAGAUACCCUAGUAGUC